CACACGACUCUCGGCAACGGAUAUCUCGGCUCUCGUAUCGAUGAAGAACGUAGCGAAAUGCGAUACCUGGUGUGAAUUGCAGAAUCCCGCGAACCAUCGAGUCUUUGAACGUAAGUUGCACCCGAGGCCACUCGGCCGAGGGCACGCCUGCCUGGGCGUCACGC
This 164-nucleotide ribosomal RNA is filed under the name Pseudoroegneria stipifolia. RNAcentral describes it as "Elymus stipifolius 5.8S ribosomal RNA". It matches the Rfam family "5.8S ribosomal RNA". Rfam says of the family: 5.8S ribosomal RNA (5.8S rRNA) is a component of the large subunit of the eukaryotic ribosome. It is transcribed by RNA polymerase I as part of the 45S precursor that also contains 18S and 28S rRNA. Functionally, it is thought that 5.8S rRNA may be involved in ribosome translocation. Lineage: Eukaryota; Viridiplantae; Streptophyta; Magnoliopsida; Poales; Poaceae. The record is from RNAcentral.